GCUGAGGCUAACCUGUGGGUCUACACCCCACAGUACACUCCUCUAGAUCUAGUAAGUGUACAAUAUCCGUGUGUUCUAGAGGCCUUAUUCCUAGUCUCUCCAGGUUCUUGAUCUAGAAUCUAGUUCAUACCUCUAAGUUCAACUAUCUUCACACGCCUACCUAAGUGCAGAGAUGGAGUUGUAUACUCCUUUUGAAGUGAAUGAGUGGGACCAGCUUUUUAAUGUCGAUGAUAUUUUAGAUGACAGGGUGCCUCCAUCUUCUGCUGUAAUGGGUGAAGAUGUUAAACUUGGCAAAACACCUUUCAAUUUUGAUGAUAUGUCUAGUUUUGAUAAAGAUGUUAACGGAAAGAGUGGAAUUGUUAUACAGGAAGGUGUCCAACCAGUGAUGAUGUCCGGAUCUUUGUCUUCAAAAUCACCCUGGCACGAGUCUGACAGUGGCGUCUCCGACACCAUCAGCUUUGCUGGAAGUCCCAUUGGAAAUUCUAGUAUGGAGGAAAUGGCUGUGGACCCAGACCUGAUUUUGCCCACUUUUGACCAAAAUGUGGAUAAUGCUGGUAUAGAUGGUGAAGACUUGGCAGCGUAUCUUUUAGGGGAGCAAGGUUUUGAAAAUGAUACUUAUCCAAAGGUGUGUUUGCCAGGAGCGAAUACAAGCCAGCUCAAACACCCAAAUCCAUCAGUUGCCACACAAUCAACAUCAGACAGGCCAGUCAGGAAGUGUGUGUCAAAGAAAGUUAAUGUAGUAGAUUUUGAAUCAUCAGACAGUGAAGGUUCUGUCUCUGAUGAAGUGCAAAACACUAAGAGCAAGGCAGGGUCAAGUUCGCUUAACUACUUCAAAGAUCCAUCAACCUUUUCAUCAUCGGGUAGUGACAUUAAGAUAGUAAGAGUACUGAAACCACCUGCAUGUGGUGCUGAUGCAAGUGCAGAUGACAUUAUGAAAGCUCUUGAUGAGCGCUCCAAAAAGAAUGCUCGUCAGGCCAAAGUCAACCGUGAGAAAAAGAAGGCUUACAUUCAAGGGCUUGAAAGUGACCUUGAAAUUUUAAAGAAAGAGAACAGGGACCUUCAGACUGAAAAUUGUCAAAUGAAGUCUGAAAUGUCCAGUCUCAAAGAAGAGGUUCACUACCUGAAAUCUGUUCUUGCUAAUGCUAGUGCUUUGUCAGGACUUCUGAAGAAUAUCAGUAAUGUGAAGGAAGUUAAAUUAUCGGCAAACAUUACAGGGAGAAAGAGGAGUGGAAGUGGAGAUGAUGAUCAUAGUUACAAUAUGGUUGAGAGUUGCCCUCAAAAACGUGCUCGUCUUGUCAAUGAAAAUUUGAAAAAAGCUGGUGUGUGCUUGCAUGUCAGUGAUGGUGAGGCAUGUCUAGAAUUCUGUGCUCACUGUGCAUCUCUAGCGAACAAAACUCACGGGCGUGUCAAUGCCUUGUGAGCAGUAUUGUUAGAGUGUAAAUGAAAUAGCCAAAGUGAUAUUAUUGCCUGUGAAGCAGAAACAGCUUCAGGUUCCUGUACAGCAUUGUACAGGUUCAGUGACAAAUCUAUGUGACUGGUGUAUAUAGGCAGAAACACAGGACUGGUUUCCACCUGACGUAUAGUGCAUUGUGAACAGUUGCUGUCAUUGCACUAUGUCAAACUUCGCCCUGGAAAGACAAGCUGCUGAUCGUGAACGGUUUGCAGUGACCAAGAGGAGAGAGGAGUCUGGAGACUGCCCGUCAACACCAAGUGAAAGAGUGACCCGCAGAAAAGAUUUUGACCAAUGAUUGAAGUCUUUUGUCAUGAUGAUUCCGUUUUCAAUGUAUGGGACGUAAUUUAUUUUUUUAUGACAUGUUUUAACGUGUAAUUUUUUCCAUUCUCUAGGUCCUGGCCACCCAUCUUCUUUGCUUUGUUCCAUAGUGUUCCUUUCUCAAAUUGUCGUUUGCUGAUUGGUAUGCGUGGGGCUCAAGCGUCAUAGUGUAUUUUUUGCUUUGGAUUUGGCGUUGCACAGGUGUGCAUUAGAAGAAUGGUGAAGAGAAGAGAGGUUGAGGGUUCGGGAGUUGCACACAGCUCUUGCACCUUUAUGGCUGUUGUGAUUCUGCGAAAGCUUCCAAGAAAGGUUUGGGUGUGUAAGUUAGAAGGUAUUGUAUGAUGGACACCGUCCUUAAACUUGUGGUAAAGUAAAAACUGUGCUUGCCUGGUUCCCCUGUCACAGGUUGGCUGGAAAAAGAGGUGUGACUUUUGUUUUGGCCUUGCAAUGUCAAAAAAACAACAACAACCCACCUACUGUUGCUUCCGGUAGUGCCAUCUAGUGACUUGGAAACACCAAGUAAGCACUUCAGACACAAGACUGCAACGAGUCUCUGUCCUUUUUUGGUUUAAAGUUUAAGAUGAACUUUAGUCCCAAGGUUAUACUCAAUGACUCAAUGGGAGAAUUUCCUGAUGAUAAAACCCCCGGUAUUGGGUGGAAGGCCCUCGGGAGGUAUCGAAGAAAUCCCAUUACCUUUUUUACUGUACAGUUACCAUACUAUCUUUGCGUUAAAUUUCCUGUGUAUGUGCUCUGGUGUGGUUUGAUCCUUCUUUCCGCCAAACUUUGAUCAUCCUUAUCUCCCCCCUUCUUCUUUUUUAUGUUUGUUACUCUCUUGUAACACUUCUAAUCUUCUGGUGCUCAUAUGAUCUUUAAUGCUGUUACAGGCGCCGUAAAACCUCUACUGAAACAAAACAAAAUUUCCUGUCCCCCUUGCUGGGUUCCGUUAGAAUUUUUCUAAAGAAUAAUCUGUAGUAGUUUAACGAAUGAAGUCUGCUGUGAUGUCUUGCUUGGAAGAGAAAAUGAUUUGAUUUGACACCUUUGAAAAAAAGAGCUUUGUAGCUGGUGAUGUAUGACCCUUUACACCUGUAGGAUUUCUUCCCCAAAAGUUCACAAAAUUUUGAAGUUACGUAUUGCCAUAAUUUCCUUAUAUUUGUUUUGUUUGAAAUCUUUAAGACAAUUGGCUUUUAUUUGUACUUUUUUUUGUUGCAGUUGAGAUUGUAAAAGGAUAUUAGCAGCUAAAAUAUUAGAUGCUAUCGGUGCUACUGUUAAUUAUAUUGGUGAAGUCCUAUUCUUUCAAGAAGGGUGAGGAAGGGUUUGAAUAGAUGCAAUAUGUAAUGAAUAGGUAUUGUUGUCUCUGUUUAUAUGGAAAGUACUCUGCCCUGGCAUGUUAGCAGUUCCUUUGUAUAUUUCAGUUCUCUGCAGAAGUUUUUUUUUAUUUCAGUUGCCAUACUGUCUGUGUCAAGAUGGACUGGAUUUGGGGCUGUAGGGUCAUCUCUUCAAGUCCAUGAACUGUCAUAGGGCAGUUGUGCAACUAAAGUCAUGGUUCUAUUUUUGGGUUUCAGACAGAGAGAGAGAAAGAAAAAAGAAAGCUGUAUGGUGGUGUCAAAAUCAUGGGGGUAGUAGUGCCUUAUGUUUUUGCAGCACAAACGGCACACAUUAUGUGUACAGGAUUGUAGGCUAUCAUGACGUUCUGUCCUUGCACUAACUUGUAAAGAGAGAGAUUUCUAACACGAAGAGCAUGCUGAGUUAUCUUGUAGCAUAGUGACCUUUUGUUUCAAAACACAUCAUGUCAGAAUUGGAGAGAACUUGUGUUUGUGUGUCGGCUAGUGACUUUUGCUUCAUGUUUCAUGAGCAGGACUGCCGAGCUCUGUUCGCGUCCUACGAAGUUAUGCUCACUAAGUUAGACAUUGCCAUGGCUGUAUUUCUUUUAUUCUGAACACGAAUAGAUUUCUCUUACUUCAAAUAUUGUGUGUAGGAAAAAAAACUUGUUUUAUUUUUCUCCAAGCAGACUGCAAGGAUCUUUUAACAUGCCAGACUUUUUCUUCUUCUUCUACUUGACUUGGGUGAAUGUGAUUGGGAGGGAUGGAGGGGACUAACAUUUCAGUGUUCUGUUUCAGAAGAAAAUUAUGGUGUGUUGAAAGUUGACGGAAGACUGCCCGGAGCUGUCCAUGCCUGCCUGAGUAGACUGGUACAAAGGUUUUUCCACUCCAGGGCUGAGUGUCUCUGUUUACUGUCACUGCCGCUGCUUCUUCAGCAAGGCUCGUGCUGUUUGGUAAAAGUUUUUGGAACAUUUGUUUAAAGUUAAUACCCACUCCCAUCCCCCACCCCUCAUAUCAUUUUCAUAUAAUCUGCAGUUUUUGGCAGCUUUAUUUCAAAUUGCAGACUGCGUUUGUUUGUUCACAAGUUAUGUUUCCUUGGAUAUUUCGGUGGUCAGUAAUUUUGUAGAGGUUACUCAGCCCUGGUUUACCACAUCUGUUUGCUUGCAUGAUUGUCAUGUAUGUAUUUGAUUCUGUGGAAAAUCUUUGCAGCUUUCUGCCCAUACAGGAAGUGACUGUUCCAGGGUCUCCGCAAGACGACUUUCCACACAGUGCCUCACUUUUAUCUUUCCUCUAUGUGUGUUUUAGAAAGACAGAAAGGGGGAACUCUCGUAAGUCUUGACCCCUGACAUGUUGGCACCUUGUUAUUGCCAUCUCUAAAUGCUGCUAAUAUCCUUUAUUCUAGCUCUUGUACACAUGUCAUUAUUAUUAGUCAUAAAAAAGGAUUUUUUAAAAGUUAACAUUAUCAGUUUUACGGUAUGAAAAAAAAAUUAUAGAACUAAUUUUUGUUGUGAGGCCCGUUAGUUUUCCUCUGCAAGGGGUUGUAAGAUUGUUGUCGGUAAGUUAAGACUGUUCAAGUAAGCUAAGCUAAAGCAGUGGCGAAAGUUGUGAGAAUGGUGAUAGUUCAUUAACAUUUUUGUGUAGUUUCCUUUGAUAAUGUUCUGAAUGGCUAGUGGAAAUAUGUUUUUGGACUGUUCAUUUGUUCAUAGUAAAGUGAAAGAUUUUGUACAUUAUAAAAAAAAGAAUGAAAAAGAUGAGUGGAAUAGAGUUCAUUUUACCAUGUUCAUGAAUGGAAUCGACUUUAAACCUUGGUUAUUUUUUGUAUAAUUUGUUUUGUGAACAUUGUGUAUAUAUUGUACAUACAGUAUGUAGUAUAAAAAAAUUGUUACACAGUACUAGAUGCAUGUACUUAUGUUGAAAGCAAAAAAGCUGAACCAAAAAACAAUUAUUUUAAUACAAAUUUUGAAAUGUA
Long non-coding RNA from Aplysia californica (California sea hare), 5059 nucleotides. RefSeq lists it as uncharacterized. Lineage: Eukaryota; Metazoa; Mollusca; Gastropoda; Aplysiida; Aplysiidae. The record is from RefSeq and is a predicted model, not a curated record.